CUCCAAGAGGGGCCCAUGUAGUAUUAGCUAGUUGGUGAGGUAACGGCUCACCAAGGCUUCGAUCGGUAACCGGCCUGAGAGGGCGAUCGGUCACACCGGAACUGAGACACGGUCCGGACUCCUACGGGAGGCAGCAGUGGGGAAUCUUGCGCAAUGGGCGAAAGCCUGACGCAGCAACGCCGCGUGGAGGAUGAAGGCCCUUGGGUUGUAAACUCCUGUCGGCUGGGAAGAAAUCGUUCGCGGUUAAUACCCGCGGGCGUUGACUGUACCAGCAAAGGAAGCCCCGGCUAACUCUGUGCCAGCAGCCGCGGUAAUACAGAGGGGGCCAGCGUUAUUCGGAAUUAUUGGGCGUAAAGGGCGCGUAGGCGGCCCUGCGUGUCUUCCGUGAAAUCCCUCGGCUUAACUGAGGACGUGCGGAAGAAACUGCGGGGCUCGAGUCCGGGAGAAGGGGGGUGGAAUUCCCAGUGUAGCGGUGAAAUGUGUAGAGAUCGGGAGGAACACCGGUGGCGAAGGCGGGUCUCUGGGCAUUUCCUGACGCUGAGGCGCGAAAGCGUGGGGAGCAAACGGGAUUAGAUACCCUGGUAGUCCUAGCUGUAAACGAUGGGCACUUGGUGUAGCGGGUAUCGACCCCUGCUGUGCCGAAGCUAACGCAUUAAGUGCCCCGCCUGGGGAGUACGGUCGCAAGGCUGAA
RNAcentral lists this ribosomal RNA (691 nucleotides) under uncultured bacterium. RNAcentral describes it as "bacterial SSU rRNA". It matches the Rfam family "Bacterial small subunit ribosomal RNA", at positions 218 to 898 of the family's 1533-position model. The record is from RNAcentral.